RNA transcript from Carassius carassius (crucian carp), 565 nucleotides. It is a transcript of the gene named G1/S-specific cyclin-E2-like, with no coding region annotated. Lineage: Eukaryota; Metazoa; Chordata; Actinopteri; Cypriniformes; Cyprinidae. The transcript has 3 exons. The record is from RefSeq and is a predicted model, not a curated record.
GGAAAAUGCUGAGUAAAGAGAUAAAGUAAAAACACAGCAAGAGCAGUUUAGACAGACACCCGUCAUUGCGGCCCAAAAUGAGAGCCAUGCUGCUCGACUGGCUCAUGGAGGACUGAAGUGGGAGGCCAUUGAGACCUGUGUGAACUGGAUGGCUCCUUUCGUGGAGUCCAUGAUGUGUUAUGAGAGCGCACGGCUAAGAGAAUUUGGCCAAGUGACUUCUGAGGAAAGACACAACAUUCAAACACAUGUGGACUACCUCUGCAUGCUGAAAGAGGCUCAGGAGAAGCAGUCAAAAAGCCUGGAGCCCUUCUUCCCACCAACACCACCCAGCAGCGCUGAGAAACCCAGCUAACACUAGUGUUCAUUCAGUAGGAUCAGUGAACUGUGAUUUUUACUGUCACUCUAGCUCUAGACUUCAUCUCAAGCUCAGGUCAUUCAACAUAAUAUGUGCACAGGUAACUGCUAUUUAAGUAGCAAAAUAGACUUCAAAAAGCAACACUGUUUUAUAUUCUGAAUAGGCAUUCCCUGUGAUUAUUAUGGUUCUUAUACUUAAAAAUAUAGUGCA